This 254-nucleotide ribosomal RNA is filed under the name uncultured bacterium. Its description in RNAcentral is "partial 16S ribosomal RNA". It matches the Rfam family "Bacterial small subunit ribosomal RNA", at positions 524 to 776 of the family's 1533-position model. The record is from RNAcentral.
GACGAAGGGGGGCUAGCGUUGUUCGGAAUUACUGGGCGUAAAGCGUGUGUAGGUGGUUGUCGUAGUCAGGUGUGAAAGCCUUGAGCUCAACUCAAGAAAUGCACUUGAUACUGGGCAGCUAGAGGACCGGAGAGGAUAGUGGAAUUCCCAGUGUAGUGGUGAAAUGCGUAGAUAUGUGGAGGAACAUCAGUGGCGAAGGCGGCUUCCUGGCUUAAAACUGACACUGUGGCGCGACAGCGUGGGGAGCAAACAGG